Molecule: ribosomal RNA, 233 nt
Filed under: uncultured bacterium
Lineage: Bacteria
Description: partial 16S ribosomal RNA
Rfam family: Bacterial small subunit ribosomal RNA
Source: RNAcentral
AUACGGAGGGUGCAAGCGUUGUCCGGAUUUAUUGGGUUUAAAGGGUGCGUAGGCGGUAUAAUAAGUCAGAGUUAAAAUAUGGUGGCUCAACUAUCAUAGGUGCUUUGAUACUGUUAUGCUUGGAUAUAGGCGAGGCUAAUGGAAUGGGUGGUGUAGCGGUGAAAUGCAUAGAUACCAUCCGGAACGCCGAUAGAGAAGUCAGUUAGCUGGUCUAUUAUUGACGCUGAGGCACG